This 389-nucleotide ribosomal RNA is filed under the name Haptolina sp. RNAcentral describes it as "partial small subunit ribosomal RNA". It matches the Rfam family "Eukaryotic small subunit ribosomal RNA", at positions 582 to 975 of the family's 1831-position model. Lineage: Eukaryota; Haptophyta; Prymnesiales; Prymnesiaceae. The record is from RNAcentral.
AUUCCAGCUCCAAUAGCGUAUAUUAAAGUUGUUGCAGUUAAAACGCUCGUAGUCGGAUUUCGGGGCCUGCCUGCCGGUCUGCCGAUGGGUAUGCACUGGCAGGCGCGUCCUUCCUUCCGGAGACUGUCCCUACUCUUAACUGAGCGGGGUCGGGAGACGGAUCGUUUACUUUGAAAAAAUCAGAGUGUUUCAAGCAGGCAGCUCGCUCUUGCAUGGAUUAGCAUGGGAUAAUGAAAUAGGACUUUGGUGCUAUUUUGUUGGUUUCGAACACCGAAGUAAUGAUUAAUAGGGAUAGUUGGGGGCGUUUAUAUUCCAUUGUCAGAGGUGAAAUUCUUGGAUUUAUGGAAGAUAAACUACUGCGAAAGCAUUCGCCAAGGAUGGUUUCAUCG